RNAcentral lists this microRNA (23 nucleotides) under Bombyx mori (domestic silkworm). RNAcentral describes it as "bmo-miR-3422". The record is from miRBase by way of RNAcentral. Lineage: Eukaryota; Metazoa; Arthropoda; Insecta; Lepidoptera; Bombycidae.
UGGAUCUACUGUGAAGGACUGAG